AAUUUUUAAAGGGCCGCGGUAUUUCUGACCGUGCGAAGGUAGCAUAAUCAUUAGUCUUUUAAUUUGAGGCUCGUAUGAAUGGUCGGACGAGGGAUAAACUGUUUGCAGAUAAAAAACUUGAACUUAACUUUUGAGUGAAAAGGCUCAAAUACUUCAAAAAGACGAUAAGACCCUAUAAAUCGUUAUGUUGGGGCAACAAAGAUAUAAGAAUUAACUGUUUUAUCAUACACACAAAAAUCAUUGAUAGAUCCUUUUUAAAGAUUUAAAGAUUAAGUUACUUUAGGGAUAACAGCGUUAUUCUUUUUGAGAGUCCUCAUCGAAAAAAGAGUUUGCGACCUCGAUGUUGAAUUAGAAGAUCUCUAUGGUGCAGCAGCUAUAGAAGAAAGUCUGUUCGACUUUUAAACUUCU
RNAcentral lists this ribosomal RNA (408 nucleotides) under Calcinus laevimanus. RNAcentral describes it as "partial 16S large subunit ribosomal RNA". It matches the Rfam family "Bacterial large subunit ribosomal RNA", at positions 1915 to 2597 of the family's 2925-position model. Lineage: Eukaryota; Metazoa; Arthropoda; Malacostraca; Decapoda; Diogenidae. The record is from RNAcentral.